GACGAACGCUGGCGGCGCGCCUAACACAUGCAAGUCGAACGAAGAAAGCGAUAGUUUACUAGAGCUUUCUUAGUGGCGGACGGGUGAGUAACACGUGAAGAACCUGCCUUACAGAGGGGGAUAACUAUUGGAAACGAUAGCUAAGACCGCAUAGGUACGGACACUGCAUGGUGACCGUAUUAAAAGUGCCUCAAAGCACUGGUAGAGGAUGGACUUAUGGCGCAUUAGCUGGUUGGCGGGGUAACGGCCCUCCAAGGCGACGAUGCGUAGCCGACCUGAGAGGGUGACCGGCCACACUGGGACUGAGACACGGCCCAG
RNAcentral lists this ribosomal RNA (318 nucleotides) under uncultured bacterium. RNAcentral's name for it is "bacterial SSU rRNA". It matches the Rfam family "Bacterial small subunit ribosomal RNA", at positions 28 to 334 of the family's 1533-position model. The record is from RNAcentral.